RNAcentral lists this small RNA (74 nucleotides) under Xanthomonas campestris pv. campestris. RNAcentral's name for it is "sX9 sRNA". It matches the Rfam family "Xanthomonas sRNA sX9". Lineage: Bacteria; Pseudomonadati; Pseudomonadota; Gammaproteobacteria; Lysobacterales; Lysobacteraceae. The record is from RNAcentral.
AUGUACCCACGUACAUUCCGGUUCCGAGCACCGUCCGCGCCCACCUGACGGCUGCUCGCUACGGUUUGUUAGCC